CCGGUUAGCCCGGCGCCCACAACCAGUACCCGGGACAUGGCGGCGGGCCUUCAGCUAGGCCGCUGACAGAGGCGCGGAGCCUCGCCGUCCCACUCUACCACUGUGUCCCCGCCUGGGUCAGGCAGGGCGGUGCCCUGCGCGGGACGUCUGCUCCUGAGAGCGCGGAGAACCCCGCAGGGGUGACUGAGGCCCAGGGGACGUUCUGCCCAGGCCUCCACCGAGCAGCUUACUUACUGGGCGAGCCCCAAUCCCAUCGUCCCCUGGAGGAUAAAUCAGGAAGUCACCGCCAGUUGGCCUCUUGAGGAUGACUGAAGUGAGUGAGAGGAGUCAGCAGCAAAGCCGCAGCUGGAUUUCUUUUGGGGUUUUAUAGGCCACUUCAGGUGACAGAGGGUUUUGAAAUCAGAGAGACAUUUCUGUCGUUGUUAUACAGCCUGAGAGACUACAAAUUAUGUGUCCUUCCUGACAUUGGCUCCUCAGUGACCGCAAAAUGUGGAAAAUAAUACCUCCUUUCCAAAGUUGUGAAGAAUGCAGGUACUUGGUUCACCAGAAAAUUUUGUCUCACUUACCAUGUCCACAAAUACCAACUUCUGUGUCAAAAUGGGAUCACUAUGAACGAAGGAAUAUUCUGUGAAAUGGAAUCUGCCAUGACCAUUGCCCUGUCAUCAACUUUGUCCUAAGAAGUUAAAAAAAAAAAAAAAUGAAAAAUAGGAACCAUUAAAAAACCUGCAAACCUAAAAGUUCAGCCUCUAUCUCCCUUCCCAGCUAUUGUCUAUAUAGCAACUCUUUCUUACCAAUUAAAGCCAGCUGGAGGCAGUGACUCUCAGUGUCAUAAAGUGCUGCUUUUGGGAGAGAAUUAAGACAAAGUAUUAGAACCAAUUGCCAAUUGUACUCCCUAGUGAUUAAGCAUUCAACUAUAUGAUCUUAAAGAUGUCAUUCUUAUUAAAACUACCACGUGUGCUUAAAUCUUCUAAACUGCAUAUUUUUCAAAGCACAUACUCUGAUAAUAAACAUGAAAUGUUUUCAGUCUCC
This 1029-nucleotide long non-coding RNA is filed under the name Mus musculus (house mouse). RNAcentral's name for it is "long non-coding RNA chr19:33589970-33590999". The record is from RNAcentral. Lineage: Eukaryota; Metazoa; Chordata; Mammalia; Rodentia; Muridae.